This 484-nucleotide ribosomal RNA is filed under the name uncultured bacterium. RNAcentral's name for it is "partial 16S ribosomal RNA". It matches the Rfam family "Bacterial small subunit ribosomal RNA", at positions 30 to 507 of the family's 1533-position model. The record is from RNAcentral.
AUUGAACGCUGGCGGCAGGCCUAACACAUGCAAGUCGAGCGGAUGAAGGGAGCUUGCUCCUGGAUUCAGCGGCGGACGGGUGAGUAAUGCCUAGGAAUCUGCCUGGUAGUGGGGGAUAACGUCCGGAAACGGGCGCUAAUACCGCAUACGUCCUGAGGGAGAAAGUGGGGGAUCUUCGGACCUCACGCUAUCAGAUGAGCCUAGGUCGGAUUAGCUAGUUGGUGGGGUAAAGGCCUACCAAGGCGACGAUCCGUAACUGGUCUGAGAGGAUGAUCAGUCACACUGGAACUGAGACACGGUCCAGACUCCUACGGGAGGCAGCAGUGGGGAAUAUUGGACAAUGGGCGAAAGCCUGAUCCAGCCAUGCCGCGUGUGUGAAGAAGGUCUUCGGAUUGUAAUGCACUUUAAGUUGGGAGGAAGGGCAGUAAGUUAAUACCUCGCUGUUUUGACGUUACCAACAGAAUAAGCACCGGCUAACUUCGUG